AUACGUAGGGGGCGAGCGUUGUCCGGAAUGAUUGGGCGUAAAGGGCGCGUAGGCGGCGCGGUAAGUCUGGAGUGAAAGUCCUGCUUUCAAGGUGGGAAUUGCUUUGGAUACUGCCGCGCUUGAGUGCAGGAGAGGUUAUCGGAAUUCCCGGUGUAGCGGUGAAAUGCGUAGAGAUCGGGAGGAACACCAGUGGCGAAGGCGGGUAACUGGACUGCAACUGACGCUGAGGCGCGAAAGUGUGGGGAGCAAACAGGAUUAGAUACCCUGGUAGUCCACACUGUAAACGAUGAAUGCUAGGUGUAAGAGGUAUCGACCCCUUUUGUGCCGGAGUCAACACAAGAAGCAUUCCGCCUGGGGAGUACGGCCGCAAGGUUGAAACUCAAAUGAAUUGACGGGG
This 397-nucleotide ribosomal RNA is filed under the name uncultured bacterium. RNAcentral describes it as "partial 16S ribosomal RNA". It matches the Rfam family "Bacterial small subunit ribosomal RNA", at positions 523 to 918 of the family's 1533-position model. The record is from RNAcentral.